This 232-nucleotide unclassified non-coding RNA is filed under the name uncultured Venturiales. RNAcentral's name for it is "sequence contains 5.8S rRNA gene, ITS2, 28S rRNA gene". The record is from RNAcentral. Lineage: Eukaryota; Fungi; Ascomycota; Dothideomycetes.
AACGCACAUUGCGCCCCCUGGUAUUCCGGGGGGCACGCCUGUCCGAGCGCCAUCACACCCCCCAAGCUCUGCUUGAUGUUGGGCGAUGCGCAGCACGCCCCAAACCUAUGGGCGCCCCCGCCGACCGCUGAGCGUAGCAAAACGUUCGUUCCGCGCGUCGGUGGACGGCCGCCCCUAAACCCCCUUCUCAAGGUUUGGCCUCGGAUCAGGCGGGGAUACCCGCUGAACUUAA